GUGGGGAAUUUUGGACAAUGGGCGCAAGCCUGAUCCAGCAAUGCCGCGUGCAGGAAGAAGGCCUUCGGGUUGUAAACUGCUUUUGUACGGAACGAAACGGUCCUGGCUAAUAUCCGGGGCUAAUGACGGUACCGUAAGAAUAAGCACCGGCUAACUACGUGCCAGCAGCCGCGGUAAUACGUAGGGUGCGAGCGUUAAUCGGAAUUACUGGGCGUAAAGCGUGCGCAGGCGGUGCUGUAAGACAGGCGUGAAAUCCCCGGGCUCAACCUGGGAAUUGCGCUUGUGACUGCAGUGCUGGAGGGCGGCAGAGGGGGAUGGAAUUCCGCGUGUAGCAGUGAAAUGCGUAGAUAUGCGGAGGAACACCGAUGGCGAAGGCAAUCCCCUGGGCCUGCACUGACGCUCAUGCACGAAAGCGUGGGGAGCAAACAGGAUUAGAAACCCCAGUAGUCC
This 450-nucleotide ribosomal RNA is filed under the name uncultured bacterium. RNAcentral describes it as "partial 16S ribosomal RNA". It matches the Rfam family "Bacterial small subunit ribosomal RNA", at positions 354 to 796 of the family's 1533-position model. The record is from RNAcentral.